GUAGGACGCUGAAGGAGGAGCUUGCUUCUCUGGAUGAGUUGCGAACGGGUGAGUAACGCGUAGGUAACCUGCCUGGUAGCGGGGGAUAACUAUUGGAAACGAUAGCUAAUACCGCAUAAGAGUAGAUGUUGCAUGACAUUUGCUUAAAAGGUGCAAUUGCAUCACUACCAGAUGGACCUGCGUUGUAUUAGCUAGUUGGUGGGGUAACGGCUCACCAAGGCGACGAUACAUAGCCGACCUGAGAGGGUGAUCGGCCACACUGGGACUGAGACACGGCCCAGACUCCUACGGGAGGCAGCAGUAGGGAAUCUUCGGCAAUGGACGGAAGUCUGACCGAGCAACGCCGCGUGAGUGAAGAAGGUUUUCGGAUCGUAAAGCUCUGUUGUAAGAGAAGAACGAGUGUGAGAGUGGAAAGUUCGCACUGUGACGGUAUCUUACCAGAAAGGGACGGCUAACUACGUGCCAGCAGCCGCGGUAAUACGUAGGUCCCGAGCGUAGUCCGGAUUUAUUGGGCGUAAAGCGAGCGCAGGCGGUUAGAUAAGUCUGAAGUUAAAGGCUGUGGCUUAACCAUAGUACGCUUUGGAAACUG
This 589-nucleotide ribosomal RNA is filed under the name uncultured Bacilli bacterium. Its description in RNAcentral is "bacterial SSU rRNA". It matches the Rfam family "Bacterial small subunit ribosomal RNA", at positions 61 to 635 of the family's 1533-position model. Lineage: Bacteria; Bacillati; Bacillota; Bacilli. The record is from RNAcentral.